This 532-nucleotide ribosomal RNA is filed under the name uncultured bacterium. RNAcentral describes it as "bacterial SSU rRNA". It matches the Rfam family "Bacterial small subunit ribosomal RNA", at positions 356 to 896 of the family's 1533-position model. The record is from RNAcentral.
GGGGAAUAUUGCACAAUGGGCGCAAGCCUGAUGCAGCGACGCCGCGUGGGGGAUGACGGCCUUCGGGUUGUAAACUCCUUUCGCUAGAGACGAAGCUUUUUGUGACGGUACCUAGAUAAGAAGCACCGGCUAACUACGUGCCAGCAGCCGCGGUAAUACGUAGGGUGCGAGCGUUGUCCGGAAUUACUGGGCGUAAAGGGCUCGUAGGUGGUUUGUCGCGUCGUCUGUGAAAUUCCGGGGCUUAACUCCGGGCGUGCAGGCGAUACGGGCAUAACUUGAGUACUGUAGGGGUAACUGGAAUUCCUGGUGUAGCGGUGAAAUGCGCAGAUAUCAGGAGGAACACCGAUGGCGAAGGCAGGUUACUGGGCAGUUACUGACGCUGAGGAGCGAAAGCAUGGGUAGCGAACAGGAUUAGAUACCCUGGUAGUCCAUGCCGUAAACGGUGGGCGCUAGGUGUGAGGGUCUUUUCGCGACUUUCGUGCCGUAGCUAACGCAUUAAGCGCCCCGCCUGGGGAGUACGGCCGCAAGGCUA